UAGGCCGAGUCGGGAACUGCAGUCCGGGUGAAGCGAAUACACGUCACCACCGGAAGUAGUGUCAGAGGUGAAGAGGA
Non-coding RNA from Eptesicus fuscus (big brown bat), 77 nucleotides. NCBI's taxonomy places the organism in Eukaryota, Metazoa, Chordata, Mammalia, Chiroptera, Vespertilionidae. The record is from RefSeq and is marked provisional.